CAAAGGCUACUUCGCAGAGAAUCCUACAUAUCCACCGCACCUCUUCCGGAGAAGGUACCGAAUGCGCCGAUCCCUCUCAGUGAAAAUUUUCAAGCUUGCGAGGCAAAUUGCCGGUAUUUUACUCAAAGAAGAAAUGUUGCGGGCUUAAAGAGAUUUAGUGCAUAUCAGAAAAUCUCCGCAGCUAUGCGUGUGAUUGCAUAUGGCGUUCCCGCUGACUAUGCCGAUGAGUACCUUCGCAUUGGUGAAGAUAUUACAAUUGAGUCAGUGCGUAGAUUUGUAAAAGUGAUCAUCCGUGUCUUUGGUCCUGAGUAUUUUCGGGCACCCAACGAGGAUGACACAAAGAAAUUGAUGGCAUCUAAUGAGGGGAGAGGCUGGUCUGGCAUGCUAGGUAGCAUUGAUUUUAUGCAUUGGACUUGG
This 417-nucleotide ribosomal RNA is filed under the name Triticum aestivum (bread wheat). RNAcentral describes it as "partial small subunit ribosomal RNA". The record is from RNAcentral. Lineage: Eukaryota; Viridiplantae; Streptophyta; Magnoliopsida; Poales; Poaceae.